GAUAACUGGGGCGAAGAGGCGGGGGAAUUGCGGAGGGGGGAAGGUUUAUUCGGAAUUACGGGACGGAAAGCGCACGCAGGCGGGUGGAUAAGUUAGAUGGGAAAGCCCCGGGCUCAACCUGGGAAUUGCAUUUAAAACUGGCCAGCUAGAGUCUUGUAGAGGGGGGUAGAAUUCCAGGUGUAGCGGUGAAAUGCGUAGAGAUCUGGAGGAAUACCGGUGGCGAAGGCGGCCCCCUGGACAAAGACUGACGCUCAGGUGCGAAAGCGUGGGGAGCAAACAGGAUUAGAUACCCCAGUAGUC
RNAcentral lists this ribosomal RNA (300 nucleotides) under uncultured Roseomonas sp. Its description in RNAcentral is "bacterial SSU rRNA". The stretch from base 52 to 300 matches the Rfam family "Bacterial small subunit ribosomal RNA", at positions 547 to 795 of the family's 1533-position model. Lineage: Bacteria; Pseudomonadati; Pseudomonadota; Alphaproteobacteria; Acetobacterales; Roseomonadaceae. The record is from RNAcentral.